RNAcentral lists this ribosomal RNA (400 nucleotides) under uncultured bacterium. RNAcentral's name for it is "bacterial SSU rRNA". It matches the Rfam family "Bacterial small subunit ribosomal RNA", at positions 355 to 772 of the family's 1533-position model. The record is from RNAcentral.
UCGGGAAUUUUGGGCAAUGGGCGAAAGCCUGACCCAGCAACGCCGCGUGAAGGAUGAAGUAUUUCGGUAUGUAAACUUCGAAAGAAUAGGAAGAAUAAAUGACGGUACUAUUUAUAAGGUCCGGCUAACUACGUGCCAGCAGCCGCGGUAAUACGUAGGGACCAAGCGUUGUUCGGAUUUACUGGGCGUAAAGGGCGCGUAGGCGGCAAUUCAAGUCAUCUGUGAAAUCUCCGGGCUUAACUCGGAACGGUCAGAUGAUACUGCUUUGCUAGAGUGCAGAAGGGGCAAUCGGAAUUCUUGGUGUAGCGGUGAAAUGCGUAGAUAUCAAGAGGAACACCUGAGGUGAAGACGGGUUGCUGGGCUGACACUGACGCUGAGGCGUGAAAGCCAGGGGAGCAAA